RNAcentral lists this ribosomal RNA (301 nucleotides) under uncultured bacterium. RNAcentral describes it as "partial 16S ribosomal RNA". It matches the Rfam family "Bacterial small subunit ribosomal RNA", at positions 509 to 807 of the family's 1533-position model. The record is from RNAcentral.
CAGUAGCCACGGUAAUACGGAGGGUGCAAGCGUUAAUCGGAAUUACUGGGCGUAAAGCGCACGCAGGCGGUUUUGUAAGACAGAGGUGAAAUCACCGGGCUCAACCUGGGAACUGCCUUUGUGACUGCAAGGCUAGAGUACGGCAGAGGGGGAUGGAAUUCCGCGUGUAGCAGUGAAAUGCGUAGAUAUGCGGAGGAACACAGAUGGCGAAGGCAAUCCCCUGGGCCUGUACUGACGCUCAUGCACGAAAGCGUGGGGAGCAAACAGGAUUAGAUACCCCGGUAGUCCCUGUCUCUUAUAC